RNAcentral lists this long non-coding RNA (1272 nucleotides) under Homo sapiens (human). Its description in RNAcentral is "HSALNT0128667". Lineage: Eukaryota; Metazoa; Chordata; Mammalia; Primates; Hominidae. The record is from RNAcentral.
GCCCUGCACGCUCUUUAGUCGCACCACGGCCUGUGUCUCAUGCUCAUUGCUCACCAAGAUCUCCCAGGUCUGGAGGCAUCAGGAGGGAGAAGAGGGAAAUCAGUAUCACGAAGUUACCAGACCAAGGAGCCCUGCAACUGUCAUGGCUGGUAUCACCCUGGCACCUUCAUCAGCACCAGCCACCUCCUCUUCCACAUCAGCCCUGGUAUCUCCUUGCUGUCAGCUCUUCCACUUUCCCACUAUCCCCUCAUCAAGAGAUCUCUGGGCCCUUCCACCCCUGCAGCCAGAUGGCACUAUCCAAAGAGAAGUUCUAGAUGUCUACCUCCUUCAGCUAACAGAAGAGAGCACACUUAGCCAAUACCUCCAUCCCCAAAGGUUGCCUUCCAGCAUGGCAAGACAGAAGCAAAAGCUCUUAUAGGCAGGCCCUGGCUCCAGGGAUGAAGAUGGGAGCAUGAACAGUUCAGAUGCAACUGCCUGGUUCAGCUGUGAUCAACCUUGUUAUAAGAGGAAGAACUUUGCCCCUGCCUCAGUCUGGCACCCAUCCCAGAGGUGCCUACAUUCCUCUCUAGAAUGAAGACCGACACUGCUAGGGCUUCUGGAGUUCCCCAUUCUCAAACCACAACCAGAACAGAAACAUAGGCUUUGCAAUAACUCCACUGGUCCAACUUCCCCUGGAUGCCCACAAUUCUGCUUUCCCACCUGGGCUCUCCACUUCUCCUCUUUCUGACACAACCACCCUGUGCUCUCCACUUCUCUUCUUUCUGACACAACCACCCUGUGCUGGGAUGGGGAAUAGGGACAGUUAGAGCAGGACAAGGCAGCAAGGGCAAGGCUGAGGCUUCACCUUGCGGAAUAAAUUGAGAGGUGGGAGAUGGGGCAAUAGGGUCUGUGAACAAAAGCCUAGAGUAGAAAAGUCUCAGGCCUGGCACUGGCAGAACCUAGGAAAGUGAUUAGGUUGAGAGUACACCCUGCUUUCAUAUACAGGCAAGUGCGCACACACACACACACACACACACACACACACAGCUUGGCCACUCAGAAAACUGGUUCCAGUAUACUUUCAUAUACAGGCAAGUACACACACACACACACACACACACACACACACACACAGCUUGGCCACUCAGAAAACCGGUUCCAGUAUACUUUCAUAUACAGGCAAGUACAUACACACACACACACACAUACACUCACGCACACACACGCGCGCGCGCACACACACACACACAGCUUGGCCACUCAGAAAACUGGUGCCAGCAUGGGUUUGCUUUG